Molecule: long non-coding RNA, 17094 nt
Organism: Cavia porcellus (domestic guinea pig)
Lineage: Eukaryota; Metazoa; Chordata; Mammalia; Rodentia; Caviidae
Exons: 3
Source: RefSeq, a predicted model, not a curated record
AGGAGUGGUGUGCAACCUUAAGAGUGCCGCUGUUCUCAGUACUCCAGAGUGACCAGAGAGGCACCAGGCUCCUCUCCCUACAGUGGCAGUACAUUGUAGGGAAAUGUGCAUGUCCAGAAGGUGGUGGACUUGCCCCUUAGGACAUUCACAUUCUGCCUUUCACCUCUACUAAAGUAUUCUUCCCUGUAUUUGUGGUCUUGGGGUGAUUAUGACUCCCUGCUAUUUCUCUUUGCCAGGACUCUUCUUUUCUUUAUUCAUUUUUCCAUCUAUCUGUCCCCCGUAGGGAGAUGAGGAAGCGCCCCACUCAGUCACAUAAUCUAAAAUCAUCCUAUCAGAAUAACCUACCCCUGAUCACAGGACCUACUCAGGGGUGUGGACAUCCAAGUAAGACUAUCCAGAACUAUUCCCUGAGUGGGCAUGCAGAGGUUAGGCAGGAGAAAGACUUCUUCCCCAGGAGUUGGUAAAAGCCACCUGGAAUGCCAACUAUGGGCAGAUGCUGGGCCGAGCAUCUCUCUACUCCUUGGCCUUGUUUCUCACCUUUAAAAACAGCUAUGUCUGUGGGUGACCUGCCCUGUCAUCUGGGUGCCCAUCCCUGUAGCAGUAGGCAGCUGCUGAGGGCGGACGCAGCUGCAAAGCAUUGAAAAGCAGUGGACCAGUUGUUCACACAGAGAUUCAGAUGGGUCCUAAGCCACAGUCCUCAGGGCCCACAAAACAAAAACUGAAUAGGAAAGGGAGGUAGCAAGGCAACAUAGUCUCUUAGUCACCUUCAAGUCCUGUGUUUGUCCGAGGUGGUGUGAUUUAUCCAGGUGAAACUUCGGGAUCCAUCCUCACUGGCUAUGGGAGCAUUUCUCUCUGACCCUCCCUGGGCCUCCUGCAGAGCCUCAGGUGUUCUUGGGAGGCUGGAUGACAAUCCUACAUUACCUAAUACUAAUGGUGAGGAUCUUGGCUGAGCCACUUAACCUCUGUAGCCUUAGUUUCCUGACCUGGAAAGUGCAGUGGGCAUCUUUUGGCUACUGGGAAGACCUAUGAAGCUAAGGGUAAUUGCCAUGGCACUAUGGGCUGGCAGUGUUCUUGUGGGGCAGGAGGAAGCCAGACUGCAUUUUACCCCAUUGAGGGCCAGCAUGGACAUGUCCGGCAGUAGCAGAGCCCCGAAUAUUAGUCCCAAGCCUGUCUACCUGGCUUCCUGUGCAUUUCUUCUACCCAGAUGGGACCUCACCAUGCUAUGCCAUGGGUGGGCACUGCUGUGUCCCAGCCUGUGUUCCAGGGCAGCCUUUCUUUCUCUGGGACAGCACUCAUCAUGACUCAGGCUGAGUCCUCUCCAACACUUCCACUUGUCCCAUCCAGCUGUCAGCACAGUAGUGGAGCCCAGAGAAUGGGACAAGUGUGGCAUUGUAAUGUGCUUGUCACGUGGGUCUGCAUAGCUCUGCACUCAAAGGCCUGGGAUUCCAGGACAGGGGCCCACCUUGAGAUGCUCGCCUCUAGUGGGUGGAAGAUAGGCAUCUUUAGCACCUCGCUGCCAGGUACAGAGGGCUAGCAUGGGGAGGAAUGAAAGGAACAUGUGUGGGCUUAGGGGCUUGGCAGGUGUCCAGGGUGAAGGAUUAACUGACAAGUGACAGUCAGCUGGGGAGAGAAAGGAGAAGUGGUGAGGAGGGUGCUGCAUGGAGCACACAGCAGCUGGAGCAGCUUGGGAGGCUGCCCAGAUCGCACAAGGGUCAGCAAGGCCUGCGAGGAGGAAGCAGCUGAGCUUGACCUGUGCCCCCAAGCAGGCCACACAUGGCCUGGGAAGCCAUGCAAGAAGCCAGAGUUUAGUCCUGAGAGGGUGGAACGAGGGAAGGGCUUUAAUCAGGAAGAUUCCAUGGGUAGGUAACUAUUUUCCAGAGACAGCUGGGGCUGUGUGGAAACCUUGGCAUUGAAGGAGGAAAGGAUGAAGGCAGGGAGGGAGGGGAGGUUGGAUGUGGAGGAGGAUGCUGAGAAUGCAGACAGCACCGGAUAGGUUAGAACCAGUAUCCCAGGGAAGCUGAGGGCCUUGCUUUGUCUUUUGGGUGGGUAGCACACUUGAGUGGGGGCGAGCUCAGGAGGAAAUCAAAGUGAGUGUGGGAGAAGGUUGGGGAGACACUGUGGAGGUCACCCAGAGCACCCUUCCACUGUAGAGAGGGUAUGGGCUGUGGUCUGUGCUUUCAGAGACUGUCUUACCCAAGGUUGUGGCCCUUUCUGGGGCACACAUGUCCUUUAUGGCAAGCAUCUGCUGUUGGUUCACUGGGUUAGCUCUGAGAGGGACAUUCUAGCAUCGCAGCUUCUGGUGUCAGUGGAGGCUGUCUUCGGACCUGACUGGGACUUAUUCCCCCUCUGCCUUGCUCCUCAUGUGGCUUUCCUUCCACAUGUGGCUAUCCAAGAGUCGUCUUCAACAAGUAUCCUGCUCACUAAAUUCUAGCUCAGUCUGCUUCCGGUGAGCCCCGAUUAGUUCCACUUUGUUGUGACCGUGCAGUCCUCCUCUCCAGAGAACCAGAAUAUUUCUCUGCCUCUUGAGUCUGGAUGAAGACAGCGUGUAGCAGUGACUACUAAUUGCAGGUCCAAGAGGACUUGCAGUUUCAUUUUCUCUAAGACCCUCAGGAUAUGGAAACAAGCCAGAAUGACCUGCUGGAAAGAGGCUGUAUGGAGAACCGAAGCCCCCCACCUAAUAGAGAAGGGCCAUCCUGUGUCCUCCAGCCUCAUGGAGGCCACCCAAACCCACACACUGUGGAGCAGAGCUAUGCCAUCCUUGCUGAGCCUAGAACAGUGAAUAAUAAAAUAACGAUACGAAGCCCCUAAGUCUUGGAGUGGCUUGGGAUUCAGCAGCAGAGAACUAACUCAGCCUGCCACUCCACAGCAAGCAGCCACGGCAUGUGAUCAAGCUGGUGGCUACCUGGACACUGCAGGAUAUGGCAGGCUAGGGAGGCUUCCUGCCAGCGACUGCAGGGUUAAAUGCAGCUCUGCUCUGCAGCCCCAGGAUGCAAGUUCUGCUCUGUCAUCUCUGAGAGCAUCAAUACUCAUUUCAUCCCCACUCUUGGAACCGGGAGAUGCCAGAGCUAUUACCUCUUAAGCUCUCUGUGUCUGUGGGGAGAAGCAGCUCGUUGCCAGAGGAGCGAAUGAGGCCCAGCCUUCCACAGAAACAUCCAUCGUCCCGACUGCUCCAGGCACAAUCCCAGCAUAUAAUUCUCUACUGCAGGAGCUGGCUCUGAGUGCAUCCAUCUCUACAAGCUCAUUAUUCAUCUUAUUAUUUUCAUGCUGUCCCAGUGGGGAAUAAAAGCCAUCAAUAAAAGCCAUCACAACAUUGCUGCAGAUUAUGCUAAAUGACCUAGGCAAAGUGCUGGCUGUGGCAGACACUGUGACCAUGAGGGCCAAAGCCACACAUCCACAGUACUCCCCUGGGGCUGGAGAAGGUGCAUACUUCUCUUACCCCAGACCCGUCCACCCUUUCCUCACAUCCCUGGUGCUCUUAGUUGCCUUAGGGUGAUUGUAAUCCAUGGACUAAUGAGCCCUGAACUUGUUAGAGACCUGAGUUCAGCCUCCACUUGGGCUGUGUGAUAUUGGGCUGGUUGCUUGGGCUUUCUGAAGCUUUGGACUCCUCAUCUACAAAUUGGGCAGAAAUUCUUGUGAGAACUAAAUGAGAAAAUAAACGUGAGAGAUGCACAGUAUAAAGUGCCCUACAUAUGUAGUGGUGGCAUCAUUAUGGUCAUUCCAACUAACCAGCACAUGCCAAAGAAACUAUAGGAAAACUAGACUGGACAUGAUGUUUCCUCAUUUUUCAGUGGGCUGAAGUAGUGUUUGCCCAUCAAUUUCACAGAGUGAGGCUCAGCUGAAAUAACAGGAGAGCCCUUUGGCAAAGCAUGAAGUUGUACAAAUGGAAGAUGUUUCCCGCAUCAUUUCUUCUCUAAGCUCUGUUGUUUCUCUUUUGCUUGUUUUUGUUUUGACUAAUCUUCCUAUUUCUUUCCUCUUCAGUGUUACUGAGUCUUCUCUAAAACUUAGCUAAAAUGAUCAGGAAAACUUGGACUGGUUUGGUUUGGAAGGAAAGAAGAGGAACUGUCAUUAUUGAGCAAGGAUUACAUUUCAGACAUUCUAAUGAGACCUCACCUAACAGUCCUUUCAGAUGGGUGUUGUUUGCCCUGUUUCACAAGAGAGGGAGCCAAGACUGAGCAAGUCCAGGUGUCUGCUCAGUCACAGAGCUGGAAUUUGAGCUAAGUUCUGAGCAAUUAUACCACACUCAAGAUCUCUGUUCUUUCUUCUGUUGAAGAUGCCCCUCAACUUAUCCAAAUACUGAUACCUCUCACAUCCCAGUUUGACCCUUCUUAUCACAAUUAAACCCUCUUAGUUAAAAUUCAUUUAUGAAUGCUAGUAUCUUGUGAGGUUGCUGACUGUCUAAGCCAUCAGAGGUGAAGUAUACAUAAGAUGAAGAUUUCAAAUUAUGUUACAAAGCUGUUCUGAUAAAAAAACAACACGAUACAGGCACAGAACAGACUGUGGAUCAAUGGAACAGAACAGAGGUUAUUCAGCCAUCAGAUUUUUGACAAAGGCAAAAAAUACACUGGAGCAAAGAUAACCUCUUUAACAAGUGGUACUUGGAAGAUAGACUACCUAUAUGCAGAAGACUGAAUCUAGACCCUUAUCCAUUAGCAGACAGUAAAAUAAAAAUGGAUGAAAGCCCUGGAUAUUAAAACAGAGAGACUUGAUCUACUGGGGAAAAAUUUUUAGAAAGGUGAAACUCUUGAAUUAGGCACAGAUAAAGACUUUCUGAAAAAACUCCAAUUUCAUAAGAAAUAACAUCAAGGAUCAACAAAAGGAAUCAUACCUAAUGAAAAAGCUUUGGUACAACAAAGGAAACAGCCUAUGGAGUGAAGAUACAAACUACAGAAUGAGCAAAAAAUUUUGUCAGCUACUCCUGGGACACAAAUAAUAUGUAGAAUAUAUAUAUAUAUAUAUAUAUAUAUAUAUAUAUAUAUAUGUAUAUAUUCCAGAAAGAUUAGCACCCUCAAUGCAAGAUGCAAUUAAAAAAUGGGCAACUGAAAUGAAUAGACAUUUCUCAGAAGUACAAGUGACCAAUAGAUAACUUGAAAAAAAGUUGCACAUCCUUGACUAUGAGAAAAAUGAAAAUUAAAAUAACACUAUGAUUCCAUUUGCCUCCAUAAAGAAUGGCUAUUAAGAAUUAAAAUAAUAAUUGGUGGUGGUGCUGCUUUCCAUUAGUCCCAGUACUUGGGAGGGAAGGGAGUUUGAGGCCAUAGUGGAGUCAACUACAUAGUGGAAUUUUGUCUCAAAAACAAAAACACCAAAAUGAAACAAAAAAGAAUUCAGAUAAUAAUGGAUGCUGGUGGGGCUGUGGAGAAGAGGAACCUUUCUACAGUGUUGAUGGAACUGUAAAUUAGUAUAACCUCUAUGGAAAUUAGAAUAAAGAUUACUCAAAAAAUAAAAAUUCCUUUUAUCCUGGGUAUUCCCAAAAGAGUUAGAGAUAUUAUAUUGCACUCAUUUUUACAGUAACCCAACUCAUAAUAGCUUAAUCUUGGAACAAUCUAUAAUGCAUUGAGAGAUGAAUGUGAUAUUCAUGCGCAAUAGAGUACAUGCUGCCAUAAAGAAGGGUAGAUUUGAGUUGCUUGUAGGAGAGUAGAUCUGCCUUGAGACCAGGUCACAUGAAACUCUCAUUUCUUCCAUUCACUAUUUCAUGGGAGGACCUACCUAAGCAAUAGGGCAAGGAAAGGAAAUUUAAAAAAACAUAGAUUGCAAAGAAAGAGUAAAACUUAUUUUCAAGUGAUGCAAUUGUAUCUAUAGAAAAUUUCAGGGAAUCUACAGAUCUACUGGAAUUAAAAAGUAAAUGUAGAAAAACAUCAGACUGUAAGUAGAAUAUGUAAAAAUUGAUUGUAAUAUACUAGCACGAAACAAUCUGAAAAUGAAAAAGAAUUCUAUGGCUACACUACCCAAAAAUAAAAAUACAUAGGGUUAAAUACAAUAAAGAAGUUGUACACUGAAAAGUAAAGAAAUGCUGAGAGAUUAAAGAUUUAAUUAACCAGAUUUAUAUGUUCUAAGAUUCCAUACUGUUAAAUGCCAAUUCUGUCCAAAUUGGGGUGGCAAAUCUAUGAAUCAGUCUAAACCCAAGAACACUUCUUAAAACCAGAUAUUGGUCAACAGAGUUUUUUAAAAAUUGUUUUGGUGGGUACUGGAGAUUCAAUUCAUGAACUUGUGCUUGCCAGGCAGGCAUGUGUGCCGCUGAGCUGAUCCCUGGCUCCCAGCGAAUUUUUAAUAUGUCAAAUUGUGAAGAAUCAAGAAUAGCAAACUAAAUUUGAAAAAGAAGGGCUGGUGUGUAGUAAGUAGCUUCCCUAAUGUGCAUGAGGAGAAGAAGAAGAGGGGGAGGAAGAAAAAAGGAGAAGGAAAAGAAGAAAGAAGAAGAAGAGAAAAAAAUUAAAAGACUUAACAGUAUAUACAUGCAUCCGGACUCAUUACACAACACUUAAGAUGGAAAUAGGUGCUUAUGUUCAAAGAUAUUAAAAAUAUAUAAUGAAUUCUUACAAGCCAGUGAGAACAAGCAAACAUCUGAAAAAUAAGCAGAACAGACACCUCAAAUAAGACUAAUAAGUAAUAAUUCAUUACCAGGGAAGUGCAACUUAAAACAACUGGGUAUUUCUUAGGCAUCUAGCAGAGUGGCUAACAUGAAAAGACCAAUAGCAGGAUUUGGAUGUUGGUGGGAAUAAACAUUGGUAAAACCACCAGCUUGAUUUUUGUCUACUGAACUGGACACACACACUCAAUGACACUAGGACACAUGGCAAGAAUUUUACAGCUGCAUUAUUUACAGUCCAAAUGGAUGGCGUGAAUGUUCAUCAACAAUAGAAUAAAAAAAAUUGUGAGUUCUUUUGUAAAGAAAAUCUCACAGCAAAGAAAGGAAAUAAGCUUCUCACAAUAUGGAUGAAACUUGCAGUGUUGAGUAAAUAAAACCAAAUAAACUAAAUGAUUCCACUCAUGCAUUAUUUUUGUAAAGCAGGCAAGAUGAAACUACAGUGAUUAAGUAUGCAUGCCUACUUGGUAAUAAUAUAAAGAAGAGGAAGAAAGUGGUUACCAUGAAAACCUGUGUAUUAGGCAGGGAAGUGGAGCCCUAUGAAUAUUGCAGAAUGGGAGGUGAUCUGGAGGAACUAGAUGUAAUGUAUUCAUGGGAGGAGGUGGGGACCAGCAGGCUCAGAAAAAGAGCUGAAGGGUGGGGAAAAGCUACUCCCUGAGCCCCUGGAAGCCUGUGAGAUGUGAGCCGGAUGCUUUAGAGCUCCAGAGACGAGGCACUCAGGCAGGCCAGGUUGCUGGCAGAGCUGUUGGUGGGAGAGAAGGGGCUAGUAGGAGGCUGUGCCCCUGCAUAGCUACCAGGGCUGAGGAUUUGCAACCUAAUGUCUGCUGGUGGACAUUCCCUGAGGAUAAAGAUCUCCCCUCACACCUGUCACUCUGGUCACACCUGGUCUCCUGUGGCUGGGGCAAAUGGAACUUGGGGUCUGGUAGGUAUUUAGACUACGUUUAUUGCCAGCCAGAGCUUUCAUUUACCUCUUUGAUGACUUUUGUCUCACUUUUGUAACACACACUCACACUAUCAUUGAUUAAUAACCCUAUUUAACUUGUCUCAAAUCCUAGCUUUGAGGAUUAAUACCAUUUGCAUCUGUAUUAUGAAUAGAAAGCUCGUAUUAGUUAUAAAUAGCACAUGACUGCCAAAAUAAAGAUACUAUAAAUAAAACAAUGUUAUUCACCUAAAAUUUAAAGAAUGACGUGUAGACUGGUAAAAAUUGAGUGGCUUCACGAAGUCAAAUUGAUUCACAAAAACAAGAACUUUUAUGAGAAAAACAGAAUGGUCUCUGAAUGGUCUUUGAAUUGUCUCCAUAAACUAAUAUUAACAUGAUGUCACUCCAGUAGAGAUGAUCACACAUUUCUUUGUGACUUAAUAACAGUUUUUAGUUUUGAUGAUAACUCAGAGUCCCAUCUCCCAUGUGCUCAUAGUUGGAAAGAACACCUUACCACUCCCCAGAUGGUAACGUUUUAGAAAUUAAAAUAUUUAUUAUGUAUUUUGGGUCCAUGUGAGAAUGUAUAUGUAUUUAUAAAUGCAUCAUGAGAUUUCUAAACCAUCUGAGGAACAAUAAUAAUAACUGAUCUCCGCCUAGCCCUUCAUUUCCUCUGUAGCUAAAAAGCAUUCUGAAUUCACUUCUAUCUUAAAGACAGCCCAACUACUCAUGAUGUUCUUAUGCAAGUUAUCGUUUAGAUAUGCUUGACUCAGAGUUUCAUGAUGAUACUCUUGUUCUUUGGUGUCUUCUGGAGAGAGCAGGUAAGUGGGUGUGGGGUUUGUACUUGCGGUGGGGCAGGUUCCAACUGCACAUGACCAUCUGGGGGAAUCUCUGUGAGGUAGGAAGGUGCCCCCCACCUCUGUUCUGCUCAGGUCAAUUGGUUUGUACCUCCAGCCCAGGGAUGGGAGUUAAAGGGGAGGUAAAAUCAGAGGCUUAUUCUGUAUCCUGUGCAGAAGAGAGCUAGGCCCCUUCCUUGCAAGGUUAGCCCUUGGCUGGUGUUUGAGAAUUUGACAUCCCCUCUGUUCCCUAAAGAGUGGCUCACUGUACCUAACCUAUCCCAACAGUGCCUAUGUGACAGCUUUCCAUGCUCCUGAUAAAACCCAGGGCGCCAGGUCUAAGGGGCUGCCAUGUAUAAACACUGUAUCUGUGUUCUCACACCCCACUGCCAGGGGAAGUAAGGACGUCCUGUUUGAGUCCCUGGGAGAGGACUGUUUGGGUCUUGAUUUUUAUUUGUGCAGUGUGAGGGAUGAAAGAGAAAGAAUUUUGGGUGCUUGUUCCCGAUUUCUCUGAACUUGGCCCCAAGUGCUCUUCUCUUGCUGAUCCCCUUUGUAUCCUUCUGCUGGUGUAAGUCAUACGCACCAGUAGCACACAUGACGAGUCCCUGGAGGCCUUUAGCAAAAUAUCAAAUUUGAGAGGGCCAAGGACUUCCCGAGCCCUGCAAAUCCUGUGUUCCUGCAUCACUAUGGGACCCCGAACCUUGACUUUGUGCUUUUAUACUUUAGGGGACCCUGCAUAUAUUACACACACACACACACACACACACACACACUCACUCACACAUGCCAUGUAGACCCCUCUGCCACUUGAGACAUAAGGCUCUUGGAGGACUGGGAUGAUCUGUAACCCUAAAGACGGCUCCGCCCCGGGAAACCCUCUGCACACGCCUGGCCGUGGGUCAAGGAAGACCUUUGUGACACCUAUUUCCGGCAGCAUCAGAGAUAAACCCUGCUUCCAGAAGCAGGGAGGGUUUGAGCAGAGGUGCUGGGGCCAGAGAAAAAGCAAAUUAAUUAACUUGUCAAAUCUUUCCUCCAAGCUUGACUGAAACAGUCUUAUGUAACGAAUUAUUGUUUCCCAGUUGUGCCAAACGUUCAUCUUCUUGCUUCUCUUCAUGUUCCAAUUCCUGUUUCUGGAGCUAAGAUUAACACAGCAUUCACAACGCCUGCCCAGAGAUGCGGGAGCAUGUUUUCCAACAGUGAAAGAUUCAUAUUACUCUUAACUUUCUAGAUAUACAGCUCAAGACAGUGAAGUGUACUUUUCUGAUCCUUCACAUUUGCAACAAAUCAGCAUUGAAUGCUAAAACUGUAGGUUGUUUUGUCCAAAAAUAUAACAUAUUUCAUUAAAUUUUUAAGAAUUUCAGUUAAAAAGUUUCAGUGAAGUGGCUUUGAUUAAAAAUUUUGACAUUUAUUAAUCAUAAUUUGUGUUUUGCUUUUUAAUUUUUUGUCCAUUUGGAAUAUUUUAGAAGAAAAAUAACUUACUGAGAUCACAUUUUAAAAUAUUUUUAAUUUUUUCAAUUUUUACUUGUAGUUUAAGGAAUUUAAAAAAUGAAAACAUUGAUUUAUUCCCUAUGGAUGCAAUUAUAUUUUACUUUUAAAUCCUUAGACAGUUACUGGUGAUAGAAGAAAACUUUGUGAAGAUGAACACAGUUGAAGAUUUUGCUAAACUGAAGGCAAAAAAAUUAUGAACUCAGGAAAUCAAUAUAAAAUAGUACAUAGAAUAUCACUCUAUUCUAUUAUCUAUCCAAACAUCAACAGCCCAACCAUGGACCACCCACACAUCCACAGUGACAAGUGAAUUCAUCUCUGAUAUUAAGACUUCCAGUCAUAUAAAAACCACAGUUUAAUUCAUGCUUUAAAGCUGCAUGGAUAAUACUUGGGUACACGCAGAGGCAGAGAGCACUGUGUGUUAGGAGGUGACCACCUGGCCUCUGUGCCCUGACAGCUGUGCUUCCCACUGCCAGGUGCAGCCCUGGUGGCCUCUGCCAACAUCAGACAAGCCUGCUUCCUUCCUAAUAACGCUAUGCCAUGACACGACAUGGUUCAUGCUAUGGGGAGCAUUGGCAUAGAUGAUCCUGGGGAUGUGUGGACCUUAGGGAAGGCCACACCACAGCCAGAGGACAGAAAAAUCCAGGAGCCUCCCAAGGACCUUUGGUGUGAGGCUGGAGACGGCUUCCCGUCCCCACCAUGAGGUCCAGGCUGGCAGACACAGUUGUUCAGGAACAGGCUGGUGCUUGGAAGAGGAGGGUAGAAUUUGAGUUCUGAAGCUUUCUACCAAUUUCACUGUAAACAAAGAUUUCUCUUAAGCCUCUGCUUCUCUCUCUCUCUCUCUCUCUCUCUCUCUCUCUCUCCCUCUGUGUGUGUGUGUGUGUGUGUGUGUGUGUGUGUGUGUGUGUGAUACUGGGAAUUAGAUCCAGACCUUUCAGACAGAGCUAUGUCUCCAGUCGGUUUUGAGAGACCAGGUCUCAUUAGUUACCCAGGCUGGUUUCAAACUUCCGUUCCUCCUGCCUCAGCCUCUCAGAAUGCCAGGGUUGCAAGUAUGUGCCCCAGCACUGGCUUCACUUGGAUUCUUUGAUAUUAUUUUCUCUACUCGUGUAAAAUGGGAAUACUGAUUCUUGCUUUCAGGGUUGCUGUGAAAACCGAAGGUGUGGGGUUCAUGGGGUACCCCGAUGUGUGUGGACAGGGAAAUUGGGGACUAUAGACUCAUCCUAGUGGUCAGUAGGAGCAUGUAGAACUCGGCAUGUGAAGCCUGCUUAUGCUCUUCCUGUUUUCUAGGCCCUGAACGCCCAGGGGUCUCUGGAAGCCUGCUUGUGCUCACGCCAGGUCAGAGCACCUGCUUCCUUCUCCAUGUCAGGCUGUGAGUGAUUUACAGCCAGGCUGGGCAUGUGUGGGAGGUCUCCUUACCUGUAAGUUAUUCCACUGGUAAUUAGAUUUCUUUCUAUUGUGGAAAGCCAGCAGGUGUAAAUCCUCAGGAACCUGGGAGCAGAUGAUAUAAGGGUCACUUGAGCCCCCAUGCUGCCUAAAAUGCAUCUUCCAGGAAAAUGAUUUCUCUGGGCACAUAAGUUACCACAAUCCCAGGGCAACCAUAGCUCAGACCCUGGCCAUUCCUGUAAUGCUGUGUACGAGUGAUGUAUGUUCUGGGCUCCCUCGCAGCUGCCUGCCCUGCUCUGCACUGUGGUUAGGAGCUGCACCCGCACCCAUGCCACGAGGGGCAAUAAUCGGGAAGGGAAGGCAGAGCAGCAAAUAUGUGCCCCCCACCCCUUUUUCCUCCCCAGUGGCUUCCCCAGGGCAAGGCUGACUUAAGAGAUUCUUAGGUCUUGCGGUGAGCCACCUGCAGGCCAAAGACACUGCAACCUGGAACAAAUAUCUAUCCAUGUGUGCAGAGACCGAUUUAGAUACACAUGACACGCCACACACAAUAAAAAUUCAGAUGGAUUUCAAGAUUUGUGCACUAAAUACCAAAAUAAUGAAUUAAAAGUAAUGCAAAAUUAUGUUUCUCUAUAUAUCUAUCUGUCUGUUUGUUGGUCUUGGGGUAGAGGCCUUUCUAAGUCUGGCAACCAACCCAGAAGGCCCAGGAAAACAUUGGCAGAUUGGACCUCUUAAAAAUUAAAAACACAACAGAAUAAAAGUCUAUUGUCAAAGACACUAUAAAUAAACCAGAACAAAAAUGACGGCCUAGGAGGAAGUACUAACUGCAUAUUCUAGCAGGAAAACAAUGAGUAUCUCCACCAUAGGACGUGGGCCUCUAAAUCCAUCAGAAACAGCAAAAAUAGGCAGAUGGGCCACACACACGUGUGAGUCCAUCCACCCUUGCACUCUACAGAUGAAUGGCUCAUUACAGUGGAAAAAUAUCAAGAUAAUCAGCUUCAUUAGUAAUAUACGGCAUUUAAGUGACAGUACCAAUAUGGCAUUAUUUUUAUUUUUGCCUGCCCAGUGAAAAUGAAUGACAACCUUUAGAACCGGGGAAUGAACGAACAGACCUGCAUUUAUGGCUGGUAGGAAGGUAAACCACCGGCACCUUAUGGAAAGUAAAUUGGCAAUAGAUAUGUGCACUUAAUGUGCUUAUCCAAUAACAUGGAGAUCUCUCCUUUAGGAGCCUAUAGAGUGCAUGAAUGUGUAAAGAUGUACAGACGAGGGCUUUCAUUGUGUCACUCUAAUGAGACCCAUCUUUGUAAACAUUUACACUUCUAUAAGAACAUAGGUUUAAUAAAUUUAAGGUGCAUUCAUAUAGCAGAAUUGCUGGAGGGCUCAAAGAAGAAAAACCAAGGUAAAUCUGGGUAAGCCCAGCUAACAUGUUUUUGAGCAUUUGUUAUGUGCUAGGCAUUGUUCUGAAUGCUUUUUAUAUGUGACCUUAUUUAGUCCUCUCAACAACUAUAUAAAGCAGGCAGCAUUGUCAUUAUCCGCAUGGCACAGAAGAGGCACGAGGAAGUCACUCGCUUGUACACGGUCACGCAGGUGGUGAGAAGGGAGGUGGGGAGUUCCACUACAUAGUGAGGUUCCCAAGGCAUGGGCUUGGAAGGGAUCCACCAACGAAGCUGAAAUGUUAAGCAGCAAAAAAGCAAGUUGCAGAAAGAUGUGGCACAACUGUGCUUUGAUUAAAUAUAUAUGACUGUGUGCAAUAUAUUGUCUCUCUAUAUAUGUUUGCAUUCUCAUAAUUACAUAUGGGUUAAUUUGAUGGUGGUGAGUGAGCGGCUGUGGGAGUACAUUUAUUUAUUUACUUGCAAAAACAUGGUGAGGUUACAAAAAAAUAAAAGUAGCUGCUCAGUUCCCUGCUGUUUUUGUUUUUAUUUAUUUUUUUAAUUACCAAGCCCACUUGAUUUGCAUGGAAUAAGAAUGACCUCAUCUGCUAACAAAUAUAUAUCCCUGCAAAUAACACUGCUUCAUGCCAGAAACAAAAAUCCCCAUUUGGGAACACUGCUCAGCUACUCUUUAGCAGUAGAUAAAUUAGUUCGAGGAAAGGCUUUAAAAAUGCUGGCAAAGUCGUACACUGUCAUUAUAGAAAACACGGUGAUGUGACCACAGAGGGAGAUAGGCCGUCUUGCUCAUGUAACAUUUGCUUGUCUCUCUCUUUCCUUCAUGGCAUCCUCCUCUACUUCCCAAAAUCUGGAGAGCAAGCCUGGUCAGAGGUGGAGACACAUAUAGAUAAAAUCCCCAACUUCACCAGGUGACCACGCAGUGCUGAUUCCAGAAGGAGCCUCAUCCGUGUGCAGGUGGCUGGAGUCACAGAGUCACAGAGCGACAGCCACUGGGCUCAGCAGACACCUGGGGCUCGUGGACCACCCAGUGCCAGCUGGUGGAAUUGCAGAGCCUUCCGUACAUCCAGCUGCAGAGAUGAGUGCCCAGAUCCAUCCAUUUUCCUACAAAUGAUUCAAUAACUGAGAUACCUGUAAAGUGCUUAGGAUGCCACGUGGCACACAGGAAACGUGCAGGAAGCAGUGCCAGUGGUUGGGUUGAUAAAGACGAUGAUGAUGACGAAGAAGAUGAAGAACAAGACUCUCCUGCUACUCCUCGUACCUUGUCCAACUCCCACAACCUGAGCUCUUUGGAGGCCAGAGCUGGCUGGGACCCUCAGACACCUUCUGCAGUCCCACGGUCCUCCCCUGGGGCCCACCUUCUGCUGUCUUCCAGGAUCUCAGCCCCCUACCUGUCCUCGGCGGCUCUCCUCAUGUCAUGGUGUACCUUCCUGCCUCCACGGUGUGCAGCAAGUCUCUACCUCCUGCUGCCACCCUGACCCAGGGCUCUACCCCUCUGGCUCAGUGUUACAGACCUCUGAUUGUGUCCUUAAACACUUGAUACUCCUAGCUGACCUUGCACCCUCCCGCUCUCCUACCCAAAUAAACCAACCAGCAAAAGAUCCCAUCCAAGUCCUGCUUACCAUCGCCUUUUACUUCCUGUCACUUUGAAGAGGAGUAAACCUUGCCCAGCCCCUUAAUUCUUCACUCCGAGCCCCUAUCACAGCUCGGUUCUUGCUUAUUACACUUACAUUUCUCCACAACUAUGGAAACUGGAAACUGGAGAAGAGUCCCAAGCCCUGCACUGCCCGGGUCCCUGUGGGCUCUCAGUAACAGGAAGGAGAAAGCCCAGAGGCAGACCCUUGGCUUCCGUGGCUGGUUUACUGAGUUCACCUCCCAGCCUACACAUGGUGUUGAUUCAAAGCCUUCCUGGGGACAGUCAGGCAGAAUAUAUCAAAUGUUAUGAGGCUGGUUUGGAAAGCAAAGAAAUAAAUUGUUACUAUUAUGGAUGAAGCAAUUAUCAUAAAUCUAUUUUUAAUCUCCUCUUCCUUUUAAAAUAAUCGAGGCUGUCUUUUCAUAAGACAAAGCACCAAGGCUUUGAUACAGAGAAGUGCAAAAAGCUCUCCUCCUAGUAAAAAAUGCUAAUUGGAGCAGCCACUGAUUUUUUUUUUUUAGCCUUCAUUAACUGCAUUAGUCUGCAUUAACACCUUUUAAAACCUCUUUAAAACUGUGUUCAAUUCACUUUCUUUAAUCUCAUCUUUUCUAGAAGUGUAGAAUCACUUUGAUCCUCAUCUUCAUCUUUUCUUUUGAUGACAACUUUGGUUUUAAUUUGUAUUUCAGAAUUGAAAUGCAGAUUUUCCAUUACCCACAAUCCUUUCCUCCUCAGGUCCUUCUGGAGAGGUAGGAGCUGGAUUAAUACCACUGUUGUGUGUCCCUGGCCACCACAGCACCCCUUCCCAGCCCCUUACAAGGUCCCGUGGGAGGCUGGGGGAAGAUUGGUUCCACUCCUGUAACUUCUGGGCAUUGGGUCGAGAUGUACCAAGUGUUCGGCACUACGUCCUGAUAGACAUUCAUCCAGCAGUAGAAACAGUUUGCUUUUUGAGGUUUUAUAAGGAGAUUACUCUCUUAUUUCCCCUAACAUUGUAUCCUUUUGUCUCUUGUCAUGGCAUCUUAAUGUUGACGUGAAGGCUGCAGAUAUUUUCCAAGAGAAGAAAGACAUAAAACUAUAUUGGUUUCUCACUAAGUUAAUCAUAGAAUUACUGUAUGAUCCAGCAAUUCCUCUUCUCAUCCAUACCCAAAAGAAUUGAAAACAAGUGUUAAAAAGCCCACUCAUGGAUAUUCACGGCAGCAUUAUCCACAAUAUCCAAAAGAUGGAAGCAGCUUUAGUGUCUAACCAUAGAUGAACAGACUAACAAUACGAUCUAUACAUAGGGAAACGAAGUCCCCAGGCUGCCGUUCAUAGUUCAAAACCAGUCAAUCUGGUCUUGGGUGCCAUAAGAAAAGUCAAGGGGCUCCCUUGCUGUGCACGGGCAAAUAGAAGGGCCAGACCAUUCACCCGAAAAAUAAAUAGAAACCACCUGGCAGCCAGACCACUGUACUCUCCACAAAAGGAGGCAGGACUCCGCCAAGAAGGAAAGCUCACGGGCAGCGCCACCUGAUUCACGUGUGGAUUCCAGCUCUAGGUGUGAAGACACGGAACACAGGGGCCUGGACACUGCAGAGCCCAAAACACACACUGGGACCCCAAACUAUCACAUUUGUGAAAUGCAUUCAUAAGGGCCAAGAAGGAAUUGAUGCCAUUGAACUUAGAUGAGAUUGAAAUUACCGUCACACAGGAAAGCCUCAAUGACACAGAUGAUAAAAACAAAGACUGAAGAAAUUAGAGAUGAGCUACUAGAUACCAAAGUGCCCUGCUUAGGAUGACAGGCGUUGCCAGUCUCAAGACCCCACCAAAGGAUGAUGAAGAUGUGCUAAAGAUGUUCCUGAAGUGAGGAAAGACGGGAUCCUACAGAUCAAAAAUAGUGCGUGGCUUCCCAGGGAGGUUUGCUCGUGAGUAGUCUUUGCAGAACAUGACAUGGUGCGCUGUUGAGCUUCUGGGCUAAAGGCACAGUGUUCUUUCAGAUGUCAAGAAGUGAAAUCAAAUUGCCUAGAAGCACUGUGGGGGAAUUGGGCUGACUCGGGGCUUCCUCCACAGCAAUGAUCAAUUCCCAGAGACAACAGGACAAGAUCUCCGGAGCUCUGGGGCGAGUGGGGUGUCCCCAAAGACACUGUACACAGGACAGCUGUCGUUCCAAAGCAGACACAUUCUCAAAUGUAAAAGAACCCAGGAGAGCCUCACUGUGAGCCCUGACAGGGGUGCUGCCUAAAAGGAAACCCUGCAAAUGUACUUUGAAUCAGAACAGAGAUUUCAGGGAAGAAUUCAGAAGGGCCAGUGGUGACCAUAGAACUCAUUUCAAAGUAGAAUUUGAAACACCCAAGGGAGCCAUGGUUAUCAACUACUAAAUGCCGAGAACCUGGUUAACAUAGUAAUGUUAAAACUAGAAAUAGAGCAGCUGGUAUGAACCCACAAAUGUGUUCAUAUAGAGUGAAGGAUUGAUGGAUACUGUUUAUAGUACAAACGUGUAGUUAAUAGAAUAGUGAAUGCAGUUUGUAUUGUUUGUCAUUCUCUCUUUAGCCUUACAGGAAUCAUUUCAAACUCUGUGUGUGUGUGUGUGUGUGUUUGCUGGAAACUGCCUUCACACUGAGUGAUAGCCUCCGUUUAUUUACGUACUUAUUUAUUGUUGAGACAGGCUUUCCCCAGUUGCUCAGUUGCCCAAGAUGGGCUCAAAUUUGCCACCCUCCUGGCUCAGCCUUCCAGAGUGCUGGGAUUACAGGCAUGCACCACCACGCCUGGCUUAAACAUGUUUCAAACUGAAAAAACCCAUGUGGGCUGCUGAUAUACGUGGUGGUAGAGUGUUUGCCUAGCAGGUGUGCAGCCUGGGUUUUAAUCCCCAGCACUAAAACAGAAGAUUAAAAAAAUUAAAUGUUCAAAAUUUC